Molecule: transfer RNA, 66 nt
Filed under: Agrypnus binodulus
Lineage: Eukaryota; Metazoa; Arthropoda; Insecta; Coleoptera; Elateridae
Description: tRNA-Asn
Source: RNAcentral
UUAAUUGAAACCAAAAUAGAGGUAUAUCACUGUUAAUGAUAUCAAUGAGUAAUAACUCCAAUUAAA